GUUAAGCGACUAAGCGUACACGGUGGAUGCCCUGGCAGUCAGAGGCGAUGAAGGGCGUGCUAAUCUGCGAUAAGCGCCGGUAAGGUGAUAUGAACCGUUAUAACCGGCGAUACCCGAAUGGGGAAACCCAGUGUGACUCGUCACACUAUCAUUAACUGAAUCCAUAGGUUAAUGAGGCGAACCGGGGGAACUGAAACAUCUAAGUACCCCGAGGAAAAGAAAUCAACCGAGAUUCCCCCAGUAGCGGCGAGCGAACGGGGAGGAGCCCAGAGCCUGAAUCAGCAUGUGUGUUAGUGGAAGCGUCUGGAAAGGCGCGCGAUACAGGGUGACAGCCCCGUACACAAAAGCGCAUGUGCUGUGAGCUCGAUGAGUAGGGCGGGACACGUGGUAUCCUGUCUGAAUAUGGGGGGACCAUCCUCCAAGGCUAAAUACUCCUGACUGACCGAUAGUGAACCAGUACCGUGAGGGAAAGGCGAAAAGAACCCCGGCGAGGGGAGUGAAAAAGAACCUGAAACCGUGUACGUACAAGCAGUGGGAGCACAGGUUUACCUGUGUGACUGCGUACCUU
RNAcentral lists this ribosomal RNA (568 nucleotides) under Salmonella enterica. RNAcentral describes it as "partial 23S ribosomal RNA". It matches the Rfam family "Bacterial large subunit ribosomal RNA", at positions 1 to 607 of the family's 2925-position model. Lineage: Bacteria; Pseudomonadati; Pseudomonadota; Gammaproteobacteria; Enterobacterales; Enterobacteriaceae. The record is from RNAcentral.